RNAcentral lists this ribosomal RNA (2058 nucleotides) under Escherichia coli. RNAcentral's name for it is "partial 23S ribosomal RNA". It matches the Rfam family "Bacterial large subunit ribosomal RNA", at positions 1 to 2104 of the family's 2925-position model. The record is from RNAcentral. Lineage: Bacteria; Pseudomonadati; Pseudomonadota; Gammaproteobacteria; Enterobacterales; Enterobacteriaceae.
GAUCAAGUGACUAAGUGUAUGUGGUGGAUGCCUUGGCGAUCACAGGCGAUGAAGGACGUGACAGCCUGCGAAAAGCUGCGGGGAGUUGGCAAAUAAACUUUGAUCCGCAGAUGUCCGAAUGGGGGAACCCACCUCUUUUGAGGUAUCUCUAGCUGAAUACAUAGGCUAGGGAGGCGAACGGAGUGAACUGAAACAUCUAAGUAACUCCAGGAAAAGAAAUCAACCGAGAUUCCGAAAGUAGCGGCGAGCGAAAUUGGAUCAGCCUAAUGCUCGAUAACAACGGCUAAUACUGGCACAGUCUGGAAAGUCUGGCUAUAGAGGGUGAUAGCCCCGUACAGGAAAUUAGCGUUGUGGUACUAAGUGCAUGAAAAGUAGGGCGGGACACGUGACAUCCUGUCCGAAGAUGGGGGGACCAUCCUCCAAGGCUAAAUACUCGUGAUCGACCGAUAGCGUACCAGUACUGUGAAGGAAAGGCGAAAAGAACCCCGGGAGGGGAGUGAAAUAGAACCUGAAACCGCAUACAUACAAACAGUAGGAGCCUCGUUAAGGGGUGACUGCGUACCUUUUGCAUAAUGGGUCAGCGACUUACGUUUAAUGGCAAGCUUAACCGAUUAGGGGAGGCGUAGCGAAAGCGAGUUCGAAUAGAGCGAUUUGAGUCGUUAGGCGUAGACCCGAAACCAGAUGAUCUAUCCAUGGUCAGGUUGAAGAUGUGGUAACACACAUUGGAGGACCGAACCGACUAGUGUUGCAAAAUUAGCGGAUGAACUGUGGAUAGGGGUGAAAGGCUAAACAAAUCUGGAGAUAGCUGGUUCUCCCCGAAAACUAUUGAGGUAGUGCCUCGUGUAUAACUCCAGGGGGUAGAGCACUGUUAUGGCUAGGGGGACAUGGCGUCUUACCAAACCAUGGCAAACUCCGAAUACUUGGAAGUUGAGCACGGGAGACAGAGCACCGGGUGCUAACGUCCGGACUCAAGAGGGAAACAACCCAGACCGCCGGCUAAGGUCCCUAAUAUUGUCUAAGUGGAAAACGAAGUGGAAAGGCUAAAACAGUCAGGAAGUUGGCUUAGAAGCAGCCAUCCUUUAAAGAAAGCGUAAUAGCUCACUGAUCGAGUCUUUCUGCGCGGAAGAUGUAACGGGGCUAAGACAAUAACCGAAGCCGCGGAUUCACACGUAAGUGUGAGUGGUAGGGGAGCGUUCUGUAAGCCUGCGAAGGUGGCUUGUAAAGGCUGCUGGAGGUAUCAGAAGUGCGAAUGCUGACAUGAGUAACGUUAAAGUGGGUGAAAAGCCCACUCGCCGUAAGCCCAAGGUUUCCUGCUCUACGUUCAUCGGAGCAGGGUGAGUCGGCCCCUAAGGUGAGGCUGAUAAGCGUAACUGAUGGGAACAAGGUUAAUAUUCCUUGACCGCCGUUGAGUGCGAAGGGGGGACGGAGUAUUGAAGAUCAUCCGGGUGUUGGAUAUCCCGGUUUGCGCGCGUAGGAGGCUGAUAGGCAAAUCCGUCAGCGAAUCUCCGAGGCAAAGCAUCGAGACCUUUUAGGUCGAAGUGAUUGGAUGUGCUCCCAGGAAAAGCCUCUAAGCUCCAGCUCAACGGGACCGUACCGCAAACCGACACUGGUGGGCGAGCUGAAUAUGCUCAGGCGCUUGAGAGAACUCAGGAGAAGGAACUCGGCAAAUUGACACCGUAACUUCGGGAUAAGGUGUGCCUUUGUAGUGUGAAGGAAGAAACAUCCGGAGCAUGAAGAGGUCUCAGAGAAUUGGUGGCUGCGACUGUUUACUAAAAACACAGCACUCUGCAAAGACGAAAGUCGACGUAUAGGGUGUGAUGCCUGCCCGGUGCUGGAAGAUUAAUUGAUGGGGUGCAAGCUCCUGAUCGAAGUCCCAGUAAACGGCGGCCGUAACUAUAACGGUCCUAAGGUAGCGAAAUUCCUUGUCGGGCAAGUUCCGACCUGCACGAAUGGCAUAACGAUGGCCACACUGUCUCCUCCUGAGACUCAGUGAAGUUGAAGUGUUUGUGAUGAUGCAAUCUCCCCGCGGCUAGACGGAAAGACCCCAUGAACCUUUAC